Molecule: ribosomal RNA, 328 nt
Filed under: uncultured bacterium
Lineage: Bacteria
Description: bacterial SSU rRNA
Rfam family: Bacterial small subunit ribosomal RNA
Source: RNAcentral
AUUGAACGCUGGCGGAAUGCUUUACACAUGCAAGUCGAACGGCAGCACGGGGCAACCUGGUGGCGAGUGGCGAACGGGUGAGUAAUACAUCGGAACGUGCCCAAUCGUGGGGGAUAACGUAGCGAAAGUUACGCUAAAUACCGCAUACGAUCUACGGAUGAAAGCGGGGGAUCGCAAGACCUCGCGCGAAAUGGAGCGGCCGAUGUCAGAUUAGGAGUUGGGUGGGGGUAAAAGGCCUCACCAAGCCGACGAUCUGUAGCUGGUCUGAGAGGACGACCAGCCACACUGGGACUGAGACACGGCCCAGACUCCUACGGGAGGCAGCAGU